Molecule: long non-coding RNA, 1477 nt
Organism: Oreochromis aureus
Lineage: Eukaryota; Metazoa; Chordata; Actinopteri; Cichliformes; Cichlidae
Exons: 2
Source: RefSeq, a predicted model, not a curated record
UAGGGGAACACACCACCACACCUCCACCUACAUCCACACCUCCACCUACAUCCACACCUCCUCCUGUUCUUUCUGUGUUGUUCUUUGUUGGAUCAGUCUGUGUUGUGGUUCUACUGGUGUUACUGGUUAUGCUGGUGAGACGAUGUGUUCACGGGAAAGUUGAAAGUUUUCACAAUUUGUAAUAUUUUGUUUAGAUCCUGUGGACAUGACAUCAUUUGGUCCUUUUAGAUUCUUACAUAAUAUCGUUUUGUUUACUUUGGUUUAUCUGAGCAGAUAAAGAAGAUGGAGACGAUAAUCAGACGCUUUUAUUCUCUUUGUAAAACAGCUGAUCAAAGUUUUCUCAGACAGAAAAUAUUGAACACAGACUGUCUUUGUUUUUCCUCUGUACUGAGUGUUUGCAGGAUGCUGUGUGCCCAAAUGAUGCUCGUCUGCAUUUCUGUUGGACCACAUCUGUCCCACUGAACUCUCAGCAGUGCUGUCACUGAGCUAAAACAUCACAAACAGCACAGACGUGUCUGAUAUCUGGUUUUAGUACAAACACAAGUUAAGAGGUUGAAUUUGUUAACAUGAGACAAAAAAGGGCAAUUUAAAGUGUUUCUGCAGGUAAAACCACAGCAGCUUCCUUUAGACUGGAGUUAGUGUGAAGCUGAUGAGCUUCUCACUGCAGUGUGUUCUGGUUUGGUUAAUAAUUGUGUUCAUGCUGUGAGAACAUGUUUGCUUUGAGCUCUGUGGUGAAGACUGUCAGUGUGCACUGGAAGAAGGUGCAGCUUUGUGGUCGUCCACCUGCCUUUUUCUCUGAAACUAAACCCAGUUCUUUGUGGUCACUCUGAGUUAGGAUGGAAAAAACUGUGGUUUAUAAAAACGCUACACUUAAUAUCUUCAAAAGCUGCAUUAAAACAACAAAUAUUUCUUUCACUGUAGUCUAAUAACAUCACAGUACUGUUGCAGUUGUACCUGCAGUAAUUUUAAUGUGUUUAUUGUACAGAGACUGAUUCAGCUGUGAUCUACUCAGCAGUGAGAACUGAAGACGUCAGUCAUGGACAAACAACCAUCAGAAUAAGGAGGCCCAGACUUUAAACCAGAGCCAGACGUCGUCUACUCUUCACUGAAGUAGUCCACCAGUCCAACCACUGAUGUCCAGCUGCUGGUCUCUAACUGGUCCCCCCAGCACCUCAGACCAGAGGACAGCCACAUGUUACAGAGAAUUUUUAUAUGUUUUAUGUCUUUUUAUCACUGAAUUAGACUCUGAUGACCCAGAACUCCUUACUGGAAGUCAGUUCAUUGACUUGAUGUUUGUUGCCUUUGUUCCCACAGCAGUGAUAAAUAAACCUUUGCUCUCUGAUUUUUUUUUCCUUCUGUGGUUCUGUGGGUUUGAAAAAGGCAUCUGAUGGAGAAUUUGAGUUGUUCCGGUUUAUUUGUGGCUAAAUGACUCUCUUCACUGAAGAAAACAAAGAAUAAAGACCUCAACCUAAAAACA